This 466-nucleotide ribosomal RNA is filed under the name uncultured bacterium. Its description in RNAcentral is "partial 16S ribosomal RNA". It matches the Rfam family "Bacterial small subunit ribosomal RNA", at positions 28 to 507 of the family's 1533-position model. The record is from RNAcentral.
GACGAACGCUGGCGGCGCGCCUAACACAUGCAAGUCGAACGAGCGAGAGAGAGCUUGCUUUCUCGAGCGAGUGGCGAACGGGUGAGUAACGCGUGAGGAACCUGCCUCAAAGAGGGGGACAACAGUUGGAAACGACUGCUAAUACCGCAUAAGCCCACGGUGCCGCAUGGCACAGAGGGAAAAGGAGCAAUCCGCUUUGAGAUGGCCUCGCGUCCGAUUAGCUAGUUGGUGAGGUAAUGGCCCACCAAGGCGACGAUCGGUAGCCGGACUGAGAGGUUGAACGGCCACAUUGGGACUGAGACACGGCCCAGACUCCUACGGGAGGCAGCAGUGGGGAACAUUGCACAAUGGGGGAAACCCUGAUGCAGCGACGCCGCGUGGAGGAAGAAGGUCUUCGGAUUGUAAACUCCUGUUGUUGGGGAAGAUAAUGACGGUACCCAACAAGGAAGUGACGGCUAACUACGUG